ACAAUUAGAUUAGUGUGCUCAAUGAGAGUACGACUCGGAGAGCGUUGGGUCAGGAAGUGUUCGCCCACGGAACGGUCCUAAGGCUCCGUGUUGUUGAAAAUUGAGCAUGAAUUUCAUGUUAUUGAGUUCUAAAAUGAGAGCAAACUACAAAAAACAUAAAUGUAACAAAUCUCGCUCUUGAAAGUAAGGUACGAUACUGUGCACGACUCUUUAAUUUCUUGGGUAUGAGAAUUGCUUUACAUGCUUUCACCUUUCCAGAGCUUGUUCGACGAGCUGUACGCACAUCAUGAAAUGCUCAAACCUUGAUACCGCAGGUUUGAGGACAUUGCAGACAUCAAGUAGCUUCA
RNAcentral lists this long non-coding RNA (347 nucleotides) under Physcomitrium patens. Its description in RNAcentral is "long non-coding RNA (PPAT_LNC005580)". Lineage: Eukaryota; Viridiplantae; Streptophyta; Bryopsida; Funariales; Funariaceae. The record is from RNAcentral.